GGGAAGCCCCUACUUUCCAGGAUGACCCUGAGUAAACCCACAGGGUCAACCCCCAUUAAACUUACCCUGAAUAUAGAGCACCCUAGCCCAAGAGACGCGGGGGAAUAUGUGAUGGGGAUGUACUGGAAGGGGGGUGGCUCUCAUAAUGCAUUGGGGACAUUUUACCUACAAGAUAUGCUCACCUCCUCAGACUGGGUAGGGA
This is a non-coding RNA of Pelobates cultripes (western spadefoot toad), 202 nucleotides long. NCBI's taxonomy places the organism in Eukaryota, Metazoa, Chordata, Amphibia, Anura, Pelobatidae. The record is from the annotation of a GenBank genome assembly.